UAAUACGGAGGGUGCAAGCGUUAAUCGGAUUUACUGGGCGUAAAGCGUGCGUAGGCGGUUUGAUAAGUCAGAUGUGAAAGCCCCGGGCUCAACCUGGGAACUGCAUUUGAUACUGUUAGACUAGAGUUUGGUAGAGGGUAGUGGAAUUCCGGGUGUAGCGGUGAAAUGCGUAGAUAUCCGGAGGAACACCAGUGGCGAAGGCGGCUACCUGGACCAAACCUGACGCUGAGGCACGAAAGCGUGGGGAGCAAACAGGAUUAGAUACCCUGGUAGUCCACGCCGUAAACGAUGUCAACUAGCCGUUGGAGGGCUUGACCCUUUAGUGGCGCAGCUAACGCAUUAAGUUGACCGCCUGGGGAGUACGGUCGCAAGAUUA
This 376-nucleotide ribosomal RNA is filed under the name uncultured Gammaproteobacteria bacterium. RNAcentral describes it as "bacterial SSU rRNA". It matches the Rfam family "Bacterial small subunit ribosomal RNA", at positions 521 to 896 of the family's 1533-position model. The record is from RNAcentral. Lineage: Bacteria; Pseudomonadati; Pseudomonadota; Gammaproteobacteria.